GGGCCCGCACAAGCGGUGGAGCAUGUGGUUUAAUUCGAAGCAACGCGAAGAACCUUACCAAAACUUGACAUCCUUCUGAAUACCCUUUAACCGGGGUAGGCUAGCAAUAGACAGAAGAGACAGGUGGUGCAUGGUUGUCGUCAGCUCGUGUCGUGAGAUGUUGGGUUAAGUCCCGCAACGAGCGCAACCCUUAUCUUUAGUAGCCAUCAUUAAGUUGGGCACUCUAGAGAGACUGCCGUGGAUAACACGGAGGAAGGUGGGGAUGACGUCAAAUCAUCAUGCCCCUUAUGUUUUGGGCAACACACGUGCUACAAUGGCGGUGACAAAGAGAAGCGAAGAGGCAACUCGGAGCAAAACUCAAAAAAGCCGUCUCAGUUCGGAUUGUAGUCUGCAACUCGACUACAUGAAGCUGGAAUCGCUAGUAAUCUCGGAUCAGCAUGCCGAGGUGAAUACGUUCCCGGGCCUU
RNAcentral lists this ribosomal RNA (466 nucleotides) under uncultured bacterium. Its description in RNAcentral is "bacterial SSU rRNA". It matches the Rfam family "Bacterial small subunit ribosomal RNA", at positions 917 to 1382 of the family's 1533-position model. The record is from RNAcentral.